This 481-nucleotide ribosomal RNA is filed under the name uncultured bacterium. RNAcentral's name for it is "SSU rRNA". It matches the Rfam family "Bacterial small subunit ribosomal RNA", at positions 26 to 518 of the family's 1533-position model. The record is from RNAcentral.
AGGACGAACGCUGGCGGCGUGCUUAACACAUGCAAGUCGAGCGGAAAGGCCCUUCGGGGUACUCGAGCGGCGAACGGGUGAGUAACACGUGAGUAAUCUGCCCCUAGCUCUGGGAUAGCUCCGGGAAACCGGGAUUAAUACCGGAUACGACCACCUUAGACAUCUUUUGUGGUGGAAAGAAUUUCGGCUAGGGAUGAGCUCGCGGCCUAUCAGCUUGUUGGUGGGGUAACGGCCUACCAAGGCUUCGACGGGUAGCUGGUCUGAGAGGAUGUCCAGCCACACUGGGACUGAGACACGGCCCAGACUCCUACGGGAGGCAGCAGUGGGGAAUAUUGGACAAUGGGCGCAAGCCUGAUCCAGCCAUGCCGCGUGGGUGAUGAAGCUUCUCGGAGUGUAAACCCCUUUCGACCCGGAAGAAAGCCCGCAAGGGUUUGACGGUACGGGUAUAAGAAGCCCCGGCUAACUACGUGCCAGCAGCCGC